RNAcentral lists this long non-coding RNA (915 nucleotides) under Gopherus agassizii (Agassiz's desert tortoise). Its description in RNAcentral is "lncRNA (ENSGAGG00000011284.1)". Lineage: Eukaryota; Metazoa; Chordata; Testudines; Testudinidae. The record is from RNAcentral.
CCUCUGCAAGGUUUUCAGUUCAGCUGCAGUGUGCCUCACACCAGAGAACUGCCUAGCGCCCAGUCCAGCCCUCUGCAAGCACGUGGGCUUAGCCCUGAGCGGUGCCGGUGUGAGCAGACACCCGGGCUCCCGAGGGAAGCGCUGGCCACACGCAGGACCUGCUGCAGACAUCAGGCUUGCAACAGCCUGUGGACGCUGCUGCUACUUUCUCGCCUGCAACCUCUGGGGACGAGCAAGGAGCAGGGUAAGGCGUUUCCCAUCCAAUGCACCAGCCCAGAGGAGGGGGAGGGCGCGCAGGGGAGGGAGCUGCCGGGUGACAGGCGGUCACAGGUGCUGCUGUUGCCUCUGAGUCACGGGAGAGGCGUCUCGGCGCCCCAACCAGCUGCUGCUCCCCCUCCCCCUCCUCGAGGCUGCUGCGGCUGCCAGCCCAGACAGAGCCAACUCCUCACAGGCGGCCUUGCUUGCAGGAGGAGCAGCCAGCGAGCCGCGCAGCCGGGGGAAGGAGCAGACGCCCCGGGAAGCCUGGCGUGCUGUCUGUUACAGAUACAGAAAUCUAGAUGGGAUUUCAAAGAUAAGAGAUGGACAGAGUGUCUUGUCAGGGCUUGAAAAAUACAUUCGUCUGGUGACUAAGUGACAAAUCAACGAGGUUUUCUCAGGUUUUGGAAGUAACAGAGUACUUGGUCACUAAAUCCUCACCUGAAGGACGGUUGUAUGCUUAAACUUGGAAGGCUCUACGUUGGGGUUCUUCAGCUCUCUUAAUUCCCAGGUUUUCUUUCCCAGAAGAAAUGGACCUUGUGUGUGAGAAGCGUCCAAGUCAAUAAUGCGACGACGAUAACAUUGAAAGUCUGCUGGAGAAGAAUCGCUAAUUCUUAUAAGUGGUUUUUGGUUUUUUUUCAUCCCUUAUAAAACAAACCA